UAGGUCAUCCCUUUGGCAUGGGUUUACACUUUUUAUCAAUGUUGUUGUUCGUUUCUUUCUGGCGUCGAGCGAUAUUGCUCUUGUUGAUCCAUAUCAUAACAUCUUUGUUAUGUUUUGUGUUAUCAGUUGUGCAUCUUUUGAAAGAUGUUCACUAAUUUUUUGUGGUUGUGAGAUUUUUGAGAGUCCUGGCGAUUCGAAAGUUCAUAUCCUUUUCAAUCGGGGAAAAGAUACUUCAAGUAGACGAGAAAUUUCAGAUAUUGAUUCCUCUUCUCGAUCAAUUGAAAGAUCGGGGAACCCAAUUGUCUGUGUCUUGUCCUUAUCUACCCUUGUUCAUAUUUGUUUCCAUGACUACCGUUAAGGGAUUAGUCACUGUUGCCAAGAUUUUUCUAUGGAAAGAGAAAGAGUUUUUUGCUAUGUUUAUCUCCCUUUAUGCACUUUGAGCUGUUCUUCUCCUAUGAGCAAUCUUCAGGAGAUGGAUCUAAGUCUUCUUUGCAGUUAGGUUUGGUAUUUUGUGAGUUUAGGAGCAGGGUUGUCUGUGUAAGAUAUCUUCAUAUUGAAUUGAUGAAGGCCAAAGAGGAUCGUUAUGAUAGAAGGUGGGUGGUUUCAUCCUAUUGUUGGUUUCGACCUAAGGAGUAUGAGAAAGCUAAAUGAUCCCUCUUUCGAUCUGAAACCGUCUCGCCCUAGUCCUUUGA
Papaver somniferum (opium poppy) is the source of this 692-nucleotide long non-coding RNA. RefSeq lists it as uncharacterized. The transcript has 3 exons. NCBI's taxonomy places the organism in Eukaryota, Viridiplantae, Streptophyta, Magnoliopsida, Ranunculales, Papaveraceae. The record is from RefSeq and is a predicted model, not a curated record.